GACAGAGGGUGCAAACGUUGUUCGGAAUUACUGGGCGUAAAGCGCGUGUAGGCUGCUCGGAAAGUCGGAUGUGAAAGCCCUGGGCUUAACCCAGGAAGUGCAUUCGAAACUCCCGAGCUCGAGUCCUGGAGAGGAAGGCGGAAUUCUCGGUGUAGAGGUGAAAUUCGUAGAUAUCGAGAGGAACAUCAGUGGCGAAGGCGGCCUUCUGGACAGUGACUGACGCUGAGACGCGAAAGCGUGGGGAGCAAACAGG
This 253-nucleotide ribosomal RNA is filed under the name uncultured bacterium. RNAcentral's name for it is "partial 16S ribosomal RNA". It matches the Rfam family "Bacterial small subunit ribosomal RNA", at positions 524 to 776 of the family's 1533-position model. The record is from RNAcentral.